AAAAUGAAGUACAAAUAGUCAAUAAGUACAUGAAAAAAAAUGUUCAAUAUCACUGGCCCUAGAGAAAUGCCACCUAAAACAAUGCUGAGAUUCGACCUCACUCCAGAAAGAAUGACCAUUAUCAUGAAAUCAAAUAACAAAUGCUGGUCAGGCUGCAGGAAAAAAGGAAUCCUUCUGCCCUUUUGGUAGGAAAAUCAACUAAUAUAAUCACUACAGAAAUCAGUGUGGAGAAUCCUCAAAAAACUAAAACCAGAAGUAGCAUUUGACCCUUCUAGGUAUCUUCCUGAAAAAGUCAAUGACAUCAUAUUGCAGUGAUAAAUGCCUAUCCAUGUUUAUAGCAGCACAACUCAUAACAGCUCAGUCUUAAAAGCAAACCUAUAUGCACAUCAAGAGAUGAAUGGAUAAAGAAAUGAAGUACUACUCUGCUAUAUAGAGCUUUCCAUUCCAGAGGGGUCUUUGCCAUUCCACUGGGCAGGUGGAGAGCUCCCUGAGGAGAAGAUGGGACACAGUCCUCCCUGAGGUCUUCAGAAGGGGCUAGAGCCAACUACGAGGCAGCAAGGAAGAGGAUGUGAGGAAAUGAAUUUUCUCCUUGACAUUCCACAAGCACAAAGGACAGAAGUAAUGAUCCCUUCUUCAGAGGCUUUCGGGGGCUGCUGUGGAGCUGGGAAAGGUAGCUCUGAAUCACCAGGCACAGCUUUCUCAGUUCUGAGGAGCUCUCGCCAUUCCCUGGAGAGGGAGGAUGGAGAGAUGCAUCAUCCCCUUUCUAGGGGAGGAGAAGCCUUAGAGAAAUAGGUCGGCAGGACAGGGCACACCCUGGACCAGCUGUGCCAACUGUCUUGCCC
RNAcentral lists this long non-coding RNA (842 nucleotides) under Heterocephalus glaber (naked mole-rat). Its description in RNAcentral is "lncRNA (ENSHGLG00100032901.1)". The record is from RNAcentral. Lineage: Eukaryota; Metazoa; Chordata; Mammalia; Rodentia; Bathyergidae.